Molecule: ribosomal RNA, 200 nt
Filed under: uncultured eukaryote
Lineage: Eukaryota
Description: partial 18S ribosomal RNA
Source: RNAcentral
CCAACUCACAUAGCGUGUAUUAAAGUUGUCGCGGUAAUAAAAGCUCGUAGUUGGAUGUAUGCCAAGGGCGAAAGGUCCACGCUCUGGGUCAGCAGCUGGCUCGGCCUAGGCAUCAUCUUGGAGAGCGUCGCUGCGCUUGAUUGUGUUGCACGGUAGCCAGGACAUGUACUUUGAGGGAAUUAUCGCGUUUCAAUCCAACG